Non-coding RNA from Chelonoidis abingdonii (Abingdon island giant tortoise), 526 nucleotides. Lineage: Eukaryota; Metazoa; Chordata; Testudines; Testudinidae. The record is from RefSeq and is a predicted model, not a curated record.
AUUAGGAAAAGUCACAGGCAGCUCACAGGCACUAAACAAAAGUUAAUGGAAGCCCACAACCUCUCUGUGACUUUUACUAAAAAUAAUGGAGAGGGUUUGACUGGGGGUGGGGAGGGGAGAGAUGACUGAAGCCCCAGGGGCAGAGAGGAAUGAAGGACCAAGCCCUGCUGUGCAGUGGGGUGGGGGUGGGGGAGCGGGGGAAGAGUCCAGGACCCACUGCUGCUGCGGUGGUUGUGCUCUGGGGCGCCCUCACGGUGCAUCAGGGCUCUGGGGCUGGUGUCUGGGAGCUGUGGACACCUUCCCACCCCCGCCAGCUGCAGCCCCUAAACCUCAGGGCUGAAGUCAACAAUGUCAUGGAAGUCUCGGAAAGUCAUGGAAUCCAUGACUUCUGUGACAAUCUUAUCCUUAAUGAUGAGUUUACAGCUGCAGUCAGUUAUCUACAGGUGCUAAUUUACCACACAUCAGUUACAACACAGAAUUGUAUUAAAAAUGCAAUUCAGUAUUUGAAAAUACAAAAAAGUCCAAG